UUGAUUACGUCCCUGCCCUUUGUACACACCGCCCGUCGCUGCCCGGGACUGAGUCAUUUCGAGAAACUUGAGGACCGUCGGCUUCGUGGUUUCGGCCACCUGUUGAUGGAAAUCAAUUUAAUUGCAGUGACUUGAACCGGGCAAAAGUCGUAACAAGGUAGCUGUAGGUGAACCUGCUGCUGGAUCAUUACGCAAAAGAAU
This 201-nucleotide ribosomal RNA is filed under the name Pratylenchus brachyurus. RNAcentral describes it as "partial 18S ribosomal RNA". It matches the Rfam family "Eukaryotic small subunit ribosomal RNA", at positions 1641 to 1831 of the family's 1831-position model. Lineage: Eukaryota; Metazoa; Nematoda; Chromadorea; Rhabditida; Pratylenchidae. The record is from RNAcentral.